UCUGGUUGAUCCUGCCAGUAGUCAUAUGCUUGUCUCAAAGAUUAAGCCAUGCAUGUCUAAGUAUAAAUAGUAUACAGUGAAACUGCGAAUGGCUCAUUAAAACAGUUAUAGUUUAUUUGAUAAUUGACAAUUACAUGGAUAACCGUGGUAAUUCUAGAGCUAAUACAUGCUUAAACGCCCGACUUUAUGGAAGGGUGGUAUUUAUUAGACUGAAGCCAAUAUUCCUUGUGUCUAUUGCGGUGAUUCAUAAUAACUGAUCGAAUCUCUUUUUGAGAUAAAUCAUUCAAGUUUCUGCCCUAUCAGCUUUCGAUGGUAGUGUAUUGGACUACCAUGGCAGUAACGGGUAACGAAGAAUUAGGGUUCGAUUUCGGAGAGGGAGCAUGAGAAACGGCUACCACAUCUAAGGAAGGCAGCAGGCGCGUAAAUUACCCAAUCCUGACUCAGGGAGGUAGUGACAAGAAAUAGCAAACCGGGAACCUCAUGGUUUCACGGUAUUGCAAUGAGAACAAUUUAAAACCCUUAGCGAGAAUCAAGUGGAGGACAAGUCUGGUGCCAGCACCCGCGGUAAUUCCAGCUCCACUAGCGUAUAUUAAAGUUGUUGCAGUUAAAAUGCUCGUAGUUGAACCUCUGUCUGGGGCUAGUUUUGGCUUUGGUCAGGCUAGUUCUAGGCAUCCGCCUACAAGACUUAGAGGGCAUUCAGUUGUUCACUAGGAGGAGUAGGCAUUUUACUUUGAAAAAAUUAGAGUGUUUAAGGCAGGCAAUCGCCCGCAUAUAUUAGCAUGGAAUAAUAGAAUAGGACACUUUUCCAUUUCGUUGGUUAUUGGAAUCGUGUAAUGAUUAAUAGGGACAGUUGUGGGCAUUUGUAUUUAAUUGUCAGAGGUGAAAUUCUUGGAUUUAUUAAAGACAAACUAACGCGAAAGCAUUUGCCAAGGAUGUUUUCAUUAAUCAAGAACGAAAGUUAGGGGAUCAAAGACGAUCAGAUACCGUCCUAGUCUUAACUAUAAACUAUUCCGACUCAAUGUUUGACUGGCUUAUAUAACCAGUUGAGCGUUGUAUGAGAAAUCAAAGUCUUUAGGUUCUGGGGGGAGUAUGGUUGCAAAGCUGAAACUUAAAGGAAUUGACGGAAGAGCACAACCAGGAGUGGAUUCUGCGGCUUAAUUUGACUCAACACGGGGAAACUUACCAGGUUAAAACAAUAGUGGGAUUGACAGUUUGAGAGCGCUUUCUUGAUUGGUUGGGUGGUGGUGCAUGGCCGUUCUUAGUUGGUGGAGUGAUUUGUCUGCUUAAUUGCGUUAACGAACGAGACCUUAACCUGCUUACUAGACUGGCGAUCAUCAAUCGUUAGCUCUUCUUAGAGGGACUUUGGUU
Molecule: ribosomal RNA, 1368 nt
Filed under: metagenome
Description: SSU rRNA
Rfam family: Eukaryotic small subunit ribosomal RNA
Source: RNAcentral